This 552-nucleotide ribosomal RNA is filed under the name uncultured Acaulospora. RNAcentral describes it as "SSU rRNA". It matches the Rfam family "Eukaryotic small subunit ribosomal RNA", at positions 548 to 1098 of the family's 1831-position model. Lineage: Eukaryota; Fungi; Glomeromycota; Glomeromycetes; Diversisporales; Acaulosporaceae. The record is from RNAcentral.
UUGGAGGGCAAGUCUGGUGCCAGCAGCCGCGGUAAUUCCAGCUCCAAUAGCGUAUAUUAAAGUUGUUGCAGCUAAAAAGCUCGUAGUUGAAUUUCGGGGUUCAUCCGUUGGUCGGGCUUUUUUGGUCUGUACUGGCGUGAUGGAUUCCUACCUUCUGAAUAACCAGCAUGUCAUUAAUUUGGUGCGCUGGGGAAGCAGGACUGUUACCUUGAAAAAAUUAGAGUGCUUAAAGCAGGCUAUCGCUUGAAUACAUUAGCAUGGAAUAAUGAAAUAGGACGGCAUGGUUCUAUUUUGUUGGUUUCUAGGAUCACCGUAAUGAUUAAUAGGGAUAGUUGGGGGCAUUAGUAUUCAAUUGUCAGAGGUGAAAUUCUUGGAUUUAUUGAAGACUAACUUCUGCGAAAGCAUUUGCCAAGGAUGUUUUCAUUAAUCAAGAACGAAAGUUAGGGGAUCGAAGACGAUCAGAUACCGUCGUAGUCUUAACCAUAAACUAUGCCGACUAGGGAUCGGACGAUGUUAAUUUUUUAAUGACUCGUUCGGCGCCUUACGGGAAAC